RNAcentral lists this long non-coding RNA (217 nucleotides) under Lathyrus oleraceus (garden pea). RNAcentral's name for it is "Pisum sativum (pea) long non-coding RNA (PSAT_LNC021230)". Lineage: Eukaryota; Viridiplantae; Streptophyta; Magnoliopsida; Fabales; Fabaceae. The record is from RNAcentral.
UUUUUUAUAACCUUAGAGUUGACGAUUACCAUUCUUUUUCCAGCCUCAGAGUUGAGCAUCUACGUUUUUCCCACUUCGGAAUGGAUGUACCGUGUUACCCCCAACCUCAAAGCUGAAUGUUUAUCUUUCCCCAACCUCAGAGCUGAAUAUCUAUCUUUUUUCAACCUCAAAGUUGAACAAUUACCUUUUUCCAACCUCAGAGUUGAUGUACCUUUUC